Molecule: ribosomal RNA, 465 nt
Filed under: Vreelandella stevensii
Lineage: Bacteria; Pseudomonadati; Pseudomonadota; Gammaproteobacteria; Oceanospirillales; Halomonadaceae
Description: partial 16S ribosomal RNA
Rfam family: Bacterial small subunit ribosomal RNA
Source: RNAcentral
CCUACGGGCGGCAGCAGUGGGGAAUAUUGGACAAUGGGCGAAAGCCUGAUCCAGCCAUGCCGCGUGUGUGAAGAAGGCCUUCGGGUUGUAAAGCACUUUCAGUGGGGAAGAAAGCCUUGGGGCUAAUACCCUCGAGGAAGGACAUCACCCACAGAAGAAGCACCGGCUAACUCCGUGCCAGCAGCCGCGGUAAUACGGAGGGUGCGAGCGUUAAUCGGAAUUACUGGGCGUAAAGCGCGCGUAGGCGGUCUGAUAAGCCGGUUGUGAAAGCCCCGGGCUCAACCUGGGAACGGCAUCCGGAACUGUCAGGCUAGAGUGCAGGAGAGGAAGGUAGAAUUCCCGGUGUAGCGGUGAAAUGCGUAGAGAUCGGGAGGAAUACCAGUGGCGAAGGCGGCUUUCUGGACUGACACUGACGCUGAGGUGCGAAAGCGUGGGUAGCAAACAGGAUUAGAUACCCGAGUAGUC